RNAcentral lists this ribosomal RNA (447 nucleotides) under uncultured bacterium. RNAcentral describes it as "bacterial SSU rRNA". It matches the Rfam family "Bacterial small subunit ribosomal RNA", at positions 355 to 825 of the family's 1533-position model. The record is from RNAcentral.
UGGGGAAUAUUGGACAAUGGGCGAAAGCCUGAUCCAGCCAUGCCGCAUGAGUGACGAAGGCCUUAGGGUUGUAAAACUCUUUCGUCGGGGACGAUAAUGACGGUACCCGAAGAAGAAGCUCCGGCUAACUUCGUGCCAGCAGCCGCGGUAAUACGAAGGGAGCUAGCGUUGUUCGGAAUCACUGGGCGUAAAGCGCACGUAGGCGGAUAGUUAAGUCAGGGGUGAAAUCCUGGGGCUCAACCCCAGAACUGCCUUUGAUACUGGCUGUCUCGAGGUCGAGAGAGGUUGGUGGAAUUCCUAGUGUAGAGGUGAAAUUCGUAGAUAUUAGGAAGAACACCAGUGGCGAAGGCGGCCAACUGGCUCGAUACUGACGCUGAGGUGCGAAAGCGUGGGGAGCAAACAGGAUUAGAUACCCCCGUAGUCCCUGAGCGGGCUGGCAAGGCGCAU